Molecule: RNA transcript, 3564 nt
Organism: Artibeus jamaicensis (Jamaican fruit-eating bat)
Lineage: Eukaryota; Metazoa; Chordata; Mammalia; Chiroptera; Phyllostomidae
Gene: IL18BP
Gene name: interleukin 18 binding protein
Exons: 6
Source: RefSeq, a predicted model, not a curated record
AUGGACCGGAAACUAGCAUGGUUGGUAAUAAGAGCUUGGGUGGAAAAAAAACUGUCCCUGGAGGACACUCCAGCUUUGUUUCUGCGUGCUGAAGCGCUCCAGCCUCUGCUGGAUGCCUGCCUUCCUGUUGUCAUUUGGGACAGGUGGACAGAGGAAGUAGCAACCCCCGGCAGCCCACUGAAAGUCAGGCCUGAGCAAGGCUGUGCUCUCCACAGGGAGGAGAGGGCUGCACUCUCGUUCUCCACCCCCGGCCAUCCCCAAAGAGGAGGAAGUUCAUCACAUACAUAUAUAGAGCCAGGCACGCCAGCUCCUGACACAUGCAUCAUGACCACGAGAUGGAACUGGACACCAGACACCAGCCCUUUGUGGGUCCUGUUUCUGUGUGCCCACAUCAUCUCCCACGUGGCCAGAGCCACGCCUGCACUUCAGGCCGUCACAGCUGCCACAGCCUCAGCUGGGAUCACGAAAGACCCUUCUUCCUCCCGACCCCCAACUCUCACAACAGCUAAGCGCUGCUCAGCAUUGGAGGUGACCUGGCCAGAAAUGGAAGUCUCACUAAAUGGAACGCUGACUUUGUCCUGUACCGCCUACAGCUGCUUCCACCACUUCAGCAUCCUUUACUGGCUGGGCAAUGGUUCCUUCAUUGAGCAUCUCCCAGGCCGGCUGCGGGAGGGCAGUACCAGCUGGGAGCACAGGGGCACAAGGACCCAGCUGUGGAAGACCUUGGUGCUGGAGGAGCUGAGCCCCGCCUUGCGCAGCACCAACUUCUCUUGUGUUUUUACCGAUCCCGAGCACACUGUUCAGCGUCACGUCAUCCUGGGCCAUCUCCUGGCUGGGCUGAGGAGAGUUGUCCCCCCCACUGAAGAAGCCCUCCAGAGGGUGCCCUCUGCUUCACCAUCCUAACAGGUGAACUCUAAAGCCUGGUUGAAAUGCCACCUCAUCAUUUAGGUCUAGGUUGUCUCAGCUCAGGCCACAUCCUGAAGCAGCUUAGUUAUAUGUUAUACUUGUAGAGGCAUACCUCGUUUUACUGUGCUUCCUGAGUAUUGCACUUUUUACAAAUUGAAGGUUUAUAAAAACCUUCCUGUUGAGGAAGUCUAUUAGCACCAUUUUUCCAACAGCAUUUGCUCACUUCAUGUCACAUUUUGGUAAUUCUUGCAAUAUUUCAAACUUUUUAAUCAUUAUGUUUGUUAUGAUGAUCUGUGAUCCGUGAUCUUUGAUGUUGCUAUUGAAAUUGUUUUCAGGUGCCAUAAACCACAGUAUCAAAAUGGCCUUAAUUGAUAAAUGUGUGUUUUCUGACUGCCCUACCGACUGGCUGUUCCCCAUCUCUCCCCGUCCUUGGGCCUCCCUAUUCCCCCAGACAGACAUACAGCGUUGAAAUCAGGCCAGUCAUUAACUCUACAGUGGCCUGUAAGUGUUCUAGUGAAAGGAAGAGUCGCUUGUCUCUCACUUUAAAUCAAAAGCUAGAAAUGAUUCAGCUUAGUGAGGAAGGCAUGUUGAACGCUGAGACAGGCUACAAGCUAGGCCUCUUGAACCAACAGCCAAGUUGUAAAUGCAAAGGAAAAGUUGUUGAAGGAAAUUAAAAAUUCUACUCCAGUGAACACAUUAGUAGUAAGAAAAGAGCCUUAUUGCUGAUAAGGAAAGUUUUAAUGGUCUGGAUAGAUGAAACCAGCUACAACAUUCCUUUAAUCCAGAGUAAGGACAUAAUCAUAAUGCUCUUCAAUUCUGUGAAGGCUGAGCGAGGUGAGGAGGCUGCAAAAGAAAGGUCGGAAACCAGCAAGGAAAGCUGUCUCCAUAACAUGAAGCAGCAAGUGCCGAUACAGAAGCUGCAGCAAACUAACCACUAAACAGAUUUUCAGUGUAGUCGAAACAGCAUUCCUGUGAAAGAUGCCAUCUAGGACUUUCAUAGCUGGAGAUGAGAAGUCAGUGCCUGGCGUCAAAGGGUCUGAUACAGCUGCUGACUUUGAGUUGAAGCAUGUUCAUUUACUGUUAGUCCUAAGGCCCUUAAGAAUUAUGCUAAAUAAUUCUCCUGUGCUCUGUUCUCUGCCAAUGGAACAUGGAAGCCUGCAUGACAGCACAUCUGUUAAUAUGGUUUACUGAAUAGUUUUAGCCCAUGGUUGGAACCUACUGCUCAGACAAAAGACUCCUUUCAAAAUAUCACUGCUCAUUGACAAGUAUCUGGUCACCCAAGUGCUCUAGUGGAGAUGUAUGAAAUUAAUGUUUUCAUGCCUGUUAACACAUGCUUUGCAAUCCAUGGAUCAAUGAGUAAUUUCAACUUUCAAGUUUUUGCCAUAGUGAUUCCUCUGAUGGAUCUGGGCAAAGUAAAUUAAAAACCUUCUGGAAAGGAUUCACCAAGGUUUGAGAGGAUUGACUCCAGUUUUGAAAUACGUUCUAGUGUGGGUAGAAUGCUGUCAAACAGCACUGCAUACUACAGAGAAAUCAUCUGUGGAACAGUCAACGCUGGAGACUUCAUUUUCUCAUUUUAAGAAACUGUCACAGCCACCCGAACCUUUCAGCAACUGCCACCUGUAUCUGUCAGGAGCCAACAUCAAGGCAAAACCUUCCACCAGCAAAACCACUGCAAACCACUGAAAGCUCAGAUGGUAGAUAGCACUUUUUAAUUAAUGUGCAUUGUUUCUUAGAAAUGCUAUUGCACACUUAAUAGACUAUAGUAUGAUAUAAAUAUAAUUUUUAUAUGUACCUGCAAACCAAAAAAAAUCAUGUAACUUGCUUUAUUGUGAUGCUCACUUGUUGCAGUGAUCUGGAACCGAACCUACAAUCUAAGUGACGCCAGUAUUUUUUUUUCCUCUAAUAAACUGUCCAGGGAUAUGGGCAGAGGCUGCUUCUGGUCCACAACUGUAUCUCUGUCAUAUCCUGCAGGGACAAGGGGCAUUCAUGAGUGACUUUUCCAUGGAGGCAUGCCAACAUCUUAGAAAAUUUAGGCCAUUUUUCCUACUCACAGAACUUGGCCUGUUCUAGUAGGGACUAUGGGAAGGAGCUAAAGAUAAAACCAUAUUCAAGGGACAGACGCCCUCAGAAAAGAACGGCCCAUAAUACUCCAUGAGCAGAGGUCAGCCAUGGAGUAUGAGAAGAUCCUCUGGCCCUAGAAAGGCCAGAAGGGACUUGAAAGAAGGCGGGUUCUGGAAGGCCCAGCAGGAACAAAGACUGACAGCAACAUCUGAGAGAAGCACCAGAGUGGUGACAGAAACAAGGACUUGAGCCAGACUGCCCAGCUUGAAGCCCAGCUCUGCCACUGUGGGUCCUUGAUCAACUGACUGCCCUUUAUGCCCAUUUCAUCUAAGUCAAUUGCUGUUUUUUUCAAGAGCCUAUAACAGUGUCUGAUAUGUAAAAAUAUUAAAUAAAAAUGUUUCCAGUCUCAGCUUCUGCACUGAUUAUAAGGCUAAGCUAACAUGCAAAUCUCAUGUACUCAAUUUCAAACCCUUCCGAGGCCCCUCAAAGCACCGGCCUCCAUCAGUGGGCAGUCCGGCUGGCUCUGCCAACUUUACUUCCCAGCCCAAAGAGGCUCUUUCUUGGCCUUGGCUCUCACUGCUCUCUUCUGUCCACUGG